GAUGAACGCUGGCGGCGUGCCUAAUACAUGCAAGUCGAGCGAACGGACGAGAAGCUUGCUUCUCUGAUGUUAGCGGCGGACGGGUGAGUAACACGUGGAUAACCUACCUAUAAGACUGGGAUAAUUUCGGGAAACCGGAGCUAAUACCGGAUGAUAUUUUGAACCGCAUGGUUCAAAAGUGAAAGACGGUCUUGCUGUCACUUAUAGAUGGAUCCGCGCUGCAUUAGCUAGUUGGUAAGGUAACGGCUUACCAAGGCAACGAUGCAUAGUCGACCUGAGAGGGUGAUCGGCCACACUGGAACUGAGACACGGUCCAGACUCCUACGGGAGGCAGCAGUAGGGAAUCUUCCGCAAUGGGCGAAAGCCUGACGGAGCAACGCCGCGUGAGUGAUGAAGGUCUUCGGAUCGUAAAACUCUGUUAUUAGGGAAGAACAUAUGUGUAAGUAACUGUGCACAUCUUGACGGUACCUAAUCAGAAAGCCACGGCUAACUACGUG
This 497-nucleotide ribosomal RNA is filed under the name uncultured bacterium. RNAcentral's name for it is "partial 16S ribosomal RNA". It matches the Rfam family "Bacterial small subunit ribosomal RNA", at positions 28 to 507 of the family's 1533-position model. The record is from RNAcentral.